This 486-nucleotide ribosomal RNA is filed under the name Triticum aestivum (bread wheat). RNAcentral's name for it is "partial small subunit ribosomal RNA". The record is from RNAcentral. Lineage: Eukaryota; Viridiplantae; Streptophyta; Magnoliopsida; Poales; Poaceae.
GAAGGCUCGGGCAGCCAGACCAAGUACCGCGGGGUGCGGCGCCGACCCUGGGGCAAGUUUGCGGCGGAGAUCCGCGACUCAAACCAGCACGGCGUCCGUGUGUGGCUGGGCACCUUUGACACCGCCGAGGAGGCGGCGGCGGCAUAUGACCGCUCCGCCUACUCCAUGCGCGGCAGGAACGCCAUCCUCAACUUCCCCGACCAGGCGCACGUCUACGAGACCAACGCAUCGCGUGAUGGUGGCGGUGCUGGUCCUUCUGCGUCGGCGGCCAGGACGAAGGUGAUUGAGUUGGAGUGCCUAGAAGACGGUGUGCUGCAGGAGACAAAUGUCAGCAGCGCUGCUUUCAUGCAUAGAGGUAAAUUGGCAUUGCUCACUCAUCUUAAUUUCUUUGUUUGCUCUGUUUAUUUGAUUUAUUAUCUUUUUUUUAGAAAUGGAGGAGGACCCCCGGCCUCUGCAUCUGGACGAUGCAUGCAGCCACUUUAUUAA